CAGAGGGUGCAAGCGUUAAUCGGAAUUACUGGGCGUAAAGCGCGCGUAGGCGGCUAAUAAGUCGGGUGUGAAAGCCCCGGGCUCAACCUGGGAAUUGCAUCCGAUACUGAUUGGCUAGAGUAUGAGAGAGGGAGGUAGAAUUCCACGUGUAGCGGUGAAAUGCGUAGAUAUGUGGAGGAAUACCGGUGGCGAAGGCGGCCUCCUGGCUUAAUACUGACGCUGAGGUGCGAAAGCGUGGGGAUCAAACAGGAUUAGAUACCCUGGUAGUCCACGCCGUAAACGAUGUCAACUAGCCGUUGGGCACCUUAGUGUGCUUGGUGGCGCAGCUAACGCGAUAAGUUGACCGCCUGGGGAGUACGGUCGCAAGAUUA
Molecule: ribosomal RNA, 371 nt
Filed under: uncultured organism
Description: bacterial SSU rRNA
Rfam family: Bacterial small subunit ribosomal RNA
Source: RNAcentral